AGCGGUGUUGCGAAGUGGUUAACGCGCAUGGCUUUGACCCAUGUAUUCGAAGGUUCGAACCCUUCCACCGCUGCCA
This 76-nucleotide transfer RNA is filed under the name Caudoviricetes sp. Its description in RNAcentral is "tRNA-Gln". It matches the Rfam family "tRNA". From Rfam's summary of the family: Transfer RNA (tRNA) molecules are approximately 80 nucleotides in length. Their secondary structure includes four short double-helical elements and three loops (D, anti-codon, and T loops). Lineage: Duplodnaviria; Heunggongvirae; Uroviricota; Caudoviricetes. The record is from RNAcentral.